CGGCUUUUAAUAAUUAAAGGAACUUGUUUUUUAAUCGAUAACCCACGUUAAUUUUUACUUAUAUUUAAAACUUGUAUACCGUCGUCAUAGAUUACUUUAAAAAAUUUAAUCUAAAUUAAAAACAAAAACAAAUCAGAUCAAGGUGCAGUCAAUAUAUAAGAUAAAAUGAGUUACAUUAAUAAAUAAUUAUGAAUAUUCUAUUAAAAUAAUAAAAUUGAAAAAGGAUUUAAAAGUAAUUAAUUUUUAAAAAAAAAAAAUAAAUCUUCAACAAAAGUGC
This 277-nucleotide ribosomal RNA is filed under the name Pikelinia tambilloi. RNAcentral's name for it is "partial 12S ribosomal RNA". Lineage: Eukaryota; Metazoa; Arthropoda; Arachnida; Araneae; Filistatidae. The record is from RNAcentral.